Molecule: ribosomal RNA, 229 nt
Filed under: uncultured bacterium
Lineage: Bacteria
Description: partial 16S ribosomal RNA
Rfam family: Bacterial small subunit ribosomal RNA
Source: RNAcentral
CGGGGUGAGUAAUGUCUGGGAAACUGCCUGAUGGAGGGGGAUAACUGCUGGAAACGGUAGCUAAUACCGCAUAACGUCGCAAGACCAAAGAGGGGGACCUUCGGGCCUCUUGCCAUCGGAUGUGCCCAGAUGGGAUUAGCUAGUAGGUGGGGUAACGGCUCACCUAGGCGACGAUCCCUAGCUGGUCUGAGAGGAUGUCCAGCCACACUGGAACUGAGACACGGUCCAG